AUAAAGUUUGAUUUUAGCUAAAAAUUUAUUUAAUUUAUAUUUUACAUGUAAAUUUUUGUAUAUUUUAUAAUUAAAUUUUAAUAAUUUUAUAAAUAUUAAUCGCAGUAUUUGAUAUUAAUAAUAAAAGAAAUUUUGAAUUGGUAUUAAAUUUUAGUAUAGGAUAAUUUUGUGCCAGCAUCUGCGGUUAUACAAAAUAUAUAAAUAAAUUAUUUUGGUAAGUAGUUAAUAAUAAAUAAAGAAUAAUAUAUUUUUAUAAUUAUAAGGUUAAAUUUAAUUUAUAAUAAAAGUUAUUUAUAUAUAAUGAAGCUAUAAAAUUUUAAAUAUAAACUAGGAUUAGAUACCCUAUUAUUUAAAAUUUAAAUUUAUAAUAUCAAGGUAGUAGUAGGUAUAAUCUUGAAACUUAAAAAAUUUGGCGGUGUUUUAGUCUAUUUAGAGGAAUCUGUUCCAUAAUCGAUGAUCCACGAUAAAUAAUACUAAUUUUAUAUAAUUUGUAUAUCAUCGUUAUCAGAAUAUCUUAAAAGAGUAUCAUAUUCAAAUAAUAUUAUUUUAUUAUAAUUCAGAUCAAGGUGCAGUUAAUAAAUUAGAGGAAAUGGAUUACAAUAAAUAAAUUUAUAUGGAUUGUAAAUUGAAAUAUUUUUAUGAAGGUGGAUUUAAUAGUAAAUUUAAUUAAAUUAUUAAAUUGAUUAUAGCUCUAAAACAUGUACACAUUGCCCGUCGCUCUUUUAAUUAGAAAAGAUAAGUCGUAACAUAGUAGAUGUACUGGAAAGUGUAUCUAGAAUGAA
RNAcentral lists this non-coding RNA (782 nucleotides) under Balmes birmanus. Lineage: Eukaryota; Metazoa; Arthropoda; Insecta; Neuroptera; Psychopsidae. The record is from RNAcentral.